CGAGCGGUAGAGAGAGCUUGCUUCUCUUGAGAGCGGCGGACGGGUGAGUAAUGCCUAGGAAUCUGCCUGGUAGUGGGGGAUAACGUUCGGAAACGGACGCUAAUACCGCAUACGUCCUACGGGAGAAAGCAGGGGACCUUCGGGCCUUGCGCUAUCAGAUGAGCCUAGGUCGGAUUAGCUAGUUGGUGAGGUAAUGGCUCACCAAGGCGACGAUCCGUAACUGGUCUGAGAGGAUGAUCAGUCACACUGGAACUGAGACACGGUCCAGACUCCUACGGGAGGCAGCAGUGGGGAAUAUUGGACAAUGGGCGAAAGCCUGAUCCAGCCAUGCCGCGUGUGUGAAGAAGGUCUUCGGAUUGUAAAGCACUUUAAGUUGGGAGGAAGGGCAGUUACCUAAUACGUGAUUGCUUUGACGUUACCGACAGAAUAAGCACCGGCUAACUCUGUGCCAGCAGCCGCGGUAAU
RNAcentral lists this ribosomal RNA (465 nucleotides) under bacterium enrichment culture clone Pav-FEB-Bd27-C1. RNAcentral describes it as "bacterial SSU rRNA". It matches the Rfam family "Bacterial small subunit ribosomal RNA", at positions 63 to 524 of the family's 1533-position model. The record is from RNAcentral.